RNAcentral lists this ribosomal RNA (774 nucleotides) under uncultured Neocallimastigales. Its description in RNAcentral is "partial large subunit ribosomal RNA". It matches the Rfam family "Eukaryotic large subunit ribosomal RNA", at positions 26 to 611 of the family's 3401-position model. Lineage: Eukaryota; Fungi; Neocallimastigomycota; Neocallimastigomycetes; Neocallimastigales. The record is from RNAcentral.
CGCAUCUGUGCAUGCAGCAUAUCAAUAAGCGGAGGAAAAGAAACUAACAAGGAUUCCCCUAGUAACGGCGAGUGAAGCGGGAAGAGCUCAAAUUUGAAAUCUUAAAGGGUUUCCCUUUACGAAUUGUAGUUUAAAGAAGUGUUUUCUGUUGAGGUUUUGGUAAAAGUUCUUUGGAAUAGGACAUCAUAGAGGGUGAGAAUCCCGUAUUUGACCUUUACUUUCAACUUUGUGAUACACUUUCAAAGAGUCGGAUUGUUUGGGAAUGCAGUCCAAAAUGGGUGGUAAAUUUCAUCUAAAGCUAAAUAUUGGCGAGAGACCGAUAGCGAACAAGUACCGUGAGGGAAAGAUGAAAGGAACUUUGAAAAGAGAGUUAAACAGUACGUGAAAUUGUCAAAAGGGAAGCGUUUGACACCAGUGUUGUUUUUCUGAAAAUCAAUUAAAGAACUGUUUAUGCUAAGUUGUUUAGACUUUAUCAGCUAACUGUUUAGUUUUGAGCUUUUCUUUAAUGCACUUUUCAGUUAACAAGUCAACAUCAAUUUCUUUUGCUGUAAAAAAGCUUGAGGAAGGUGGCUUGAGAUUCGUCUUAAGUGUUUAUAGCCUCUUGCCUAUGCAGUCGGAGAGAUUGAGGUCUGCAGCGUAGAUCCUUCGGGGCUAAAUGCAUUUGUGCUAAGUUAUAGCAUUUUAUAGACAACUUGUUGACUAUGAUUUGUCUUGUAGCUUACUCGCUUAUGUUAUUUUACCUACGCUUAGGAUGUUGAACGCGCACAGAGUCUC